CCUACGGGUGGCUGCAGUGAGGAAUAUUGGUCAAUGGCCGCGAGGCUGAACCAGCCAAGUCGCGUGAGGGAAGACUGCCCUACGGGUUGUAAACCUCUUUUGUCGGGGAGCAAAGCGAACCACGUGUGGCUCAUUGAGAGUACCCGAAGAAAAAGCAUCGGCUAACUCCGUGCCAGCAGCCGCGGUAAUACGGAGGAUGCGAGCGUUAUCCGGAUUUAUUGGGUUUAAAGGGUGCGCAGGCGGUCUGUUAAGUCAGCGGUCAAAGCUUGGGGCUCAACCCCGGACUGGCCGUUGAGACUGGCAGCCUCGAGUACGAGUGAGGUAUGCGGAAUGCGCGGUGUAGCGGUGAAAUGCAUAGAUAUCGCGCAGAACUCCGAUUGCGAAGGCAGCAUGCCGGCUCCACACUGACGCUGAGGCACGAAAGCGUGGGUAUCGAACAGGAUUAGAUACCCGAGUAGUC
This 460-nucleotide ribosomal RNA is filed under the name uncultured bacterium. Its description in RNAcentral is "partial 16S ribosomal RNA". It matches the Rfam family "Bacterial small subunit ribosomal RNA", at positions 338 to 795 of the family's 1533-position model. The record is from RNAcentral.